CAAAUCUUCAUUACUCUUUUCUCUUCCACUAUCUGCAAGCAGAGAAGUCUGAGGUCCCAGGGACUGGCAAAGCCACAGGAUGAAAGGAACUUGAGGCUCUCCUUCACUACCUGCAGGAAAAGCACCUGUCGCAACAAGGAGCCCUUGCACUGAAUGGUUGCAUAAGUAACUACCCACCUUCUAUUGCAUGCCUGGCACAUGCUAACCAAGCUUUACCUCUGAGGAGCUCACAGACCAACAUUCCUCUGGAGGAGGGAGCAGGUUUUGAUGGUAGGUGAUGAGUUUCUUUCAUUCAAUGCCUGGGGUUUCCCACUGGCCCCCAUUAUGUUGCCUGGAAGAUGGGGGCUCUUGUGAAGCAACAGCAGGAUCCUACUGGACAUUCUCCAGCUGCCUAAUCCCUCCAUGUCUCAGUGUUCUCAUCUGUCAAAUGGAGUCGCUCAUCCCGCUCAACCCUCCCCUGACAGGGGUUACUUGCGUGGCCUUCCCAUUGGCCUCCUGCUCACUCUUUCCUGACCCCAAACCCUCUGCAGGCCAGGCUCCCAGCCGGCCCCUCUGGACUUGGAUUUGGCUGCAGCCUGUUGCUUCUCCAUCUUCAGGACCCCAAUCCCCUACCUGCACCACAGUGGGCUGCCAGCCACCUCCUGGGCCCAUCCAGGGACCACUCGCCUGCAGAGCUGCCAUGUACAUUGCCUGCAUUUCUGUGCCUGAGACCUAUACUCCCCACUUCCCAAGAGACUGCAAGCACCAUGAGGACAUCUUUGUUUGUUUGUUUUGUUUUGUUUU
Molecule: long non-coding RNA, 783 nt
Filed under: Homo sapiens (human)
Lineage: Eukaryota; Metazoa; Chordata; Mammalia; Primates; Hominidae
Description: HSALNT0215674
Source: RNAcentral